Molecule: long non-coding RNA, 2371 nt
Filed under: Lynx pardinus (Iberian lynx)
Lineage: Eukaryota; Metazoa; Chordata; Mammalia; Carnivora; Felidae
Source: RNAcentral
CCCGCUGCUCUGCCAGCCCUCAGUACCUGCUCUUGGCAGCUUCGCCUUCCCUCUCGUAGCCCUGUCUGUGUGACCUUCCCUUUCGGAGCAGCCACGCGUUCUGUGAUGGGCUGCAGAGCCAGGCCGAGGAGUGCCGUGUGAGCACUGAAGGCCGAGUCCAGACCUCGCUGCUUCCACUAGACCAGGAACCUCCAGGUACCUCGGGGGCUUUGUCAUGUUGCAAAAAAAUGGGCAGGAAUUAAAACCCCUCCCUGUUUACUUCUCAGAUUGCUAUGAGAAUAAAUAUUUGAAAAUAUUUUGUAAAUGAAAGUUUUCAGCUUUUAUAUUUUGAUUUUGUUUUCAGAACUACAAAAGGAAAUUUAUUUCAACAGCAAAAGAGAACAUUUACAUUCGAACACAAUGAUGAAAGGAUGUCCCGCGAAAGGAAAAAAAAAGCCCGUAACAUGAAGUUUUUUAUUUGAAUUUCUGAAACAAAAUAACUUGGGGAUUCUUGCCUUAGGAAAGGAAAGGGGGAACAGCACAACAGUUCUUCUUGCCAGAGCAUAGUCCUUGCAGCUUGGUUGUCUAGAAUCCGGCAUCAAUUCAUGACCUACCCUGAUCCUCAUACACUCCCAUCAUGGGCCUGGAGGGUUCAUCUCACCGUCUUCAGCACCAGCCUGCUUCCUGGGCCCCAAGAAGGAACCUCAGGGGAAGAGGUUUCCAGAAUUCUGUUUUAUUUGUUAUUCUUGUGGCCUGGAGAGAAUAUUAUUUCACUUAGAACUCCCUCCUGUUCCUUUUCCAUUCAUCACAGAAAUGGGAAUCAAGGCCCUGACCAUUCUCUGAAGAUCACAAGGAGGAUAAACGUGCUUGCCCUUCUCCUUUGGGCAGGAUCCCAAGGGCCACGGCCCCUUGAUGCCCCUUAAUCUUGGCAUCAACAAGCCCAAAGUCUCUUGUGUGGCACUGAAGGAACUACAGACCACAGAGGGUGGAGAGCAGGCUUCUCCUCGAGUCAGUGCAAGAGCAUUAAGACUUGGCUGUACCUUUACCCCAUCCUACCAGGUCUGAUACCCUUGCUCCUCUGUGAGGAUUUCCUGAAGAGAAAUUUACAGUGCGUCUUUCAUUCUUAAUCCUGGGAAAUGGUUUUGUUUGGUGAUGGCCAUUGACCAUGACUGCAGGGGGACUUUCAGAGUGAGUGAGUGUUUGCAUAUACAUUGGAAUUAGAAAGAACUUCCAGGUUCAGCCUCCUCCAUCAGUUAGGUAAAGAACUUUGAUCUGUGCCACACACGGGAUCAGUUCACCCAAAUCAACCCACUCCUAAUAAUGGGAACAAAAGUUGAUCACCCUAUAGCUUCCCUGCUCUUAGCGUGGCCAUGAGACUGGUGUAUUCAAAACUCCCAUUUAGUGCCACCUGGGUGGCUCAGUUAAGCUUUUGACUCUUGAUUUCGGCUCAGGUCGUGAUCUCAUGGUUUGUGAGUUUGAGCCCCACAUUGGGCUCUGAACUGGCAGUACAGAGCCUGCUCGGGAAUCUCUGUCUCCCUCUCCCUCUGCCCCUCCUCUGCUAACAAAAAAUCUCUCUCUCUCAAAAAUAAAUAAAUAAACAUUAAAAAGAAAAAAAACCCGCCAAACAAAAAACCCUCCAAAAUUCCAUUCAAAACUCCCACACGUACUUCGCCACGCUCUUUUCCCCUUCCAGCUAUCUGGGACUGUCACUCCCCAGCAAGACCCUGGGAGCCAUGGGCUGGAGGAAGAGUGUCAGCCAGGAUCCUUUCAUGACAAAGUAGAAGAGAGACACCCUACCUACCCCCUGUCCCUGCUGCAAGUGUGGCUAUUCAACUGCCUUACUGGAACUGGGAGAUCUUGCUGUUAAAUAUUUUAUGUGUGCCUUAGUUUACUCAUCUGUAAAACAAGAACGAAAUUUUUUACUUCACAAGGUUUUUAAACAAGUAAUAUGAGCGCUAAUGAAUGAUGGCCACCCAUUGUAGUGCCUGGCACGUAACAGAUGCUCACAAAAUCCUUGUUGAAUACGUAUCUUCAUUCCUGGAGGACUGUUGUGAUAUUUCAAUGAAAUUGUCAUUUUGGAAACAGAGAGAUCAAGAUGGAAAAGCUAGUUAAUGGAAAUGAAAAAAUGAUAUUUCAGCCCCUUCCUCCCUCUGUUUUAAGAAGCUUGGACAAUCUGAGGAACUAGUCAUUUGUCCAGGGGAAUGGAGUAGCCUAUUGUAGGUAUCAUGGAAUCCGUAAUACAGGAGGAUGACAUCUGUUUAAUUUCAAGCCCCUUUUCAGUGUCUUCCCCAACCAAAGGACAAGAAUUUAUGGUCUCUGGGAUUGGUGUUUAAAUGAAGCAGCAGGCUAGGGGCACCUGGGUGGCUCAGUCGGUUGAGCGUCCAACUUUGGC